GUGUUUGCUUCACAGCACAGUUUACUAAGACUGGAACGAUACAGAGAUUAGCAUGGUGCCUGCACAAGGAUGACAUGCAAAUUCAUGAAGCAUUCCAUAUUUUU
This is a small nuclear RNA of Leptonychotes weddellii (Weddell seal), 104 nucleotides long. The record is from RefSeq and is a predicted model, not a curated record. Lineage: Eukaryota; Metazoa; Chordata; Mammalia; Carnivora; Phocidae.